This is a long non-coding RNA of Haliotis rufescens (red abalone), 367 nucleotides long. RefSeq lists it as uncharacterized. The record is from RefSeq and is a predicted model, not a curated record. NCBI's taxonomy places the organism in Eukaryota, Metazoa, Mollusca, Gastropoda, Lepetellida, Haliotidae. The transcript is spliced from 4 exons.
CAGCGUUAACACGUGAGAAAAUUUAUCAGAAGAGACAAGGAAAUGACUGGCUGGUUUCUUUUACUCCUCGUCCUUGUACUGUCCUUGUACAGCGCUGAUGUUGCGGAAGGAUACAGUCGGAAGGGAUUUGUUUGUAAGAAAAGCGCAAAUGGGCGUUCUGGUGACUGUGUGAAAGCACGAGGACCAGCACGAAGACCAGCACGAAGACCAGCACGAAGACCAGCACCACCAAAACCAAAAACAACAACGCCAGCACCAGCUGAUCCAUGCUCAUCGAACCCAUGUGCUAAUGGAGGAACUUGUAUUGCAAAAACACCGUUGACUCUCUUAUGCAAAUGUGCUGAAGGAUUCUCAGGUGGCCAUUGUA